UGCAGUCGAGCGGAGAUGAGGUGCUUGCACCUUAUCUUAGCGGCGGACGGGUGAGUAAUGCUUAGGAAUCUGCCUAUUAGUGGGGGACAACAUUCCGAAAGGAAUGCUAAUACCGCAUACGUCCUACGGGAGAAAGCAGGGGAUCUUCGGACCUUGCGCUAAUAGAUGAGCCUAAGUCGGAUUAGCUAGUUGGUGGGGUAAAGGCCUACCAAGGCGACGAUCUGUAGCGGGUCUGAGAGGAUGAUCCGCCACACUGGGACUGAGACACGGCCCAGACUCCUACGGGAGGCAGCAGUGGGGAAUAUUGGACAAUGGGGGGAACCCUGAUCCAGCCAUGCCGCGUGUGUGAAGAAGGCCUUAUGGUUGUAAAGCACUUUAAGCGAGGAGGAGGCUACUGAGACUAAUACUCUUGGAUAGUGGACGUUACUCGCAGAAUAAGCACCGGCUAACUCUGUGCCAGCAGCCGCGGUAAUACAGAGGGUGCGAGCGUUAAUCGGAUUUACUGGGCGUAAAGCGUGCGUAGGCGGCUUUUUAAGUCGGAUGUGAAAUCCCCGAGCUUAACUUGGGAAUUGCAUUCGAUACUGGGAAGCUAGAGUAUGGGAGAGGAUGGUAGAAUUCCAGGUGUAGCGGUGAAAUGCGUAGAGAUCUGGAGGAAUACCGAUGGCGAAGGCAGCCAUCUGGCCUAAUACUGACGCUGAGGUACGAAAGCAUGGGGAGCAAACAGGAUUAGAUACCCUGGUAGUCCAUGCCGUAAACGAUGUCUACUAGCCGUUGGGGCCUUUGAGGCUUUAGUGGCGCAGCUAACGCGAUAAGUAGACCGCCUGGGGAGUACGGUCGCAAGACUAAAACUCAAAUGAAUUGACGGGGGCCCGCACAAGCGGUGGAGCAUGUGGUUUAAUUCGAUGCAACGCGAAGAACCUUACCUGGCCUUGACAUACUAGAAACUUUCCAGAGAUGGAUUGGUGCCUUCGGGAAUCUAGAUACAG
This 986-nucleotide ribosomal RNA is filed under the name Acinetobacter sp. SD43142. RNAcentral describes it as "bacterial SSU rRNA". It matches the Rfam family "Bacterial small subunit ribosomal RNA", at positions 56 to 1037 of the family's 1533-position model. The record is from RNAcentral. Lineage: Bacteria; Pseudomonadati; Pseudomonadota; Gammaproteobacteria; Moraxellales; Moraxellaceae.